This 2853-nucleotide long non-coding RNA is filed under the name Homo sapiens (human). RNAcentral describes it as "non-protein coding lnc-FNBP1L-6:2". Lineage: Eukaryota; Metazoa; Chordata; Mammalia; Primates; Hominidae. The record is from RNAcentral.
AGUGUGCAUUUCAGAGCUGUAGAAGCCGAGCCUAAUGCUAACUGAACUGGAUAAUAAACAGAGAUGUGGGUGUAGUCAGAAAAGAAUGCACCUUCCUUUGAGCCAGGAGGAAAGAGUUGAUAUCUGAAACAGAGAGGAGAAUGUGAAUGCAAGUAUGUUCAAGUGGAGUGAAGAAGAGAAGAUUUUGGGUAGAUAAUAACCUCUGAACCUAGCUGUACGUUAUAAGCUGUCCUUUGAAGAGAACACUGUGGCAAGGAACUGAGUGAAGGAGGCCUCUGGCCUACACCCAGUGAAGAAUUAAGGAACUCAGUCUGACAACGUGUGAGGCACUGAGUCCUGCCAACAACUACACGAGUGAGCUUGGAAACAGACCCUCAGUCCAGCCUUCAGGUGAGACUGCAGUCUUGACUUAUCCAUUGCUGCAUCUGGAUGCCUCAAAGUCAUCCAGAUACAACAAUAGAUAACCAGUAGUUAUAGAUUAACUUCAUCUCUCCUAAAAUUUCAAGUAAAAUAAAUAAUACAGGCCAGGUACAGAGGCUCAUACCUGUAAUCCCAGCACUUUGGGAGGUUGAGGAGGCAGGAUCACUUGAGCCCAGGAGUUUGAGACCAGCCUGGGCAACAUAACAAAACCCCAUCUCUACAAAAUAUAUAAAAAUUAGCCAGGCAUGGUGGCAUGCGCCAGUAGUCCCAGCUACUUGGGAGGCUGAGGUGGGAGGAUCACUUGAGCCUGGGAGGUUGAGGCUGCAGUGAGCCAUGAUCAUGCCACUGCACUCCAGCCUGGGUGACAGAGCGAGACCACGUCUUAAAAAAAAAAAAAAGAAAAAAGAAAUAAUACAGUAUGUACUCAUGUCUAGCUUCUUUCACUCAGCAUAGUGUUUCUGUAAUUCAUCCAUGUUAUUGUGUAUACCAGUAGUUGAUUCUUUUUUAUUGCUGAGUAUUUCAUUGUAUGACUAUAUAACAAUGGAUUUAUCCAUUCAGCUGUUGAUAGACAUUUGGGUUGUAUCUGGUUUUCAAUAUUGUAUUUGGGGGCUUUUAGAAUUCUGUAAUGUCAAAUGAUCAUUUAAGAUUGAGUGCAAACUAAGCUGGGUGUGGUGGCAUGUGCCUGUAGUCUCAGCAACUUGGGAGGCUGGAGCAGGAGGAUUGUUUAGUUCAGGAGUUCUAGGCAGUAGUAUGCGAUGAUCACACCUGUGAAUAACCACUGCACUCCAAUCUGGGCAACAUAAUGAAAACUGAUCUCUAUAAAAAACAAAAACAAAAACAAAAAACAAAGGUUGAGUGCAAAAUAAAGACAUUUCAGACAAAUGGGAUCUAGAAAAUUUACUGUCACUAAAGACCUUUGGUAAAGAAUUACUAAGGAGGCUAGGUACUGUGUCUCAUGCCUGUAAUCCCAGCACUUUGGGAGGCUGUGGUGAGAGGAUCACUUGAGUCCAAGAGUUCAAGACCAGCCUGGGCAACAUAGCGAGAUCCUGUCUCUACAAAAAUAAAAGUUAGCCAGGUGUGGUGGUGCAUGUCUGUAGUCCCAGCUACUUGAGAGGCUGAGGUGGGAGGAUGGCUUAAGCCUGGGAGGUUGAGGCUGCAGUGAGCCAUGAUCAUGCCACAGUACACCAGCCUAAGAAACAGAGUGAGAUCCCUGUCUCAAAAAAAAAAAAAACAAAAAAAAAAAACUUGAAUAGAAUGCAAGAAUCAACAGUGAGCAAAGAAAGAGGGAAAAUAAUCAAAAUAAGUAAUGUUCAUUGUAAAACAUGAACCUUAAAAUAAUGGACCAGCAGACACAUCAAAAUCUUGCAUGACAUUUUACACAUUUAGUCAUUGCUGAGGAAACAUGUUAAAGCUUUUGUUGACUUCUCUGGUAGCGGAACUACAUAUGACCAUAUCCUGAUAUAUUUAGAGGAAAUUAGCAAGCUUUCAUCUUUUUAUGACUUUUCCAAACUUAACCUACGCUUAUCUCAACAGAAGCCAUUCCUUUCUAUAAGAAUAAGCUUUUGAAGAUGUUUUCCUUGAACUUCUAAAGUUUACAUAUUAACUACUCCAUCAUUCAAUAGGGGCAUAUUUACAAACCAGGCAAACAAGGGUUUCUGCCCAGAAUGCCUACCACACCUUGUCAUCUGACCCUAGUCUAAAGCUAAUUUCUUCAGGGAAGUUUUUCUUAUCCUUAACCUGCUACUCAGUCCCACUUCCUUCCACAUGCCCCAGUCCUUUUCAUUACUUCUAUCAACAGAUACAGCUUUUUUUUUUUUUUUGAAACGGAGUCUUGCUCUGUCACCAGGCUGGAGUGCAGUGGCAUGAUCUUGGCUCACUGCAACCUCCAACUCCCUGGUUCAAGCGAUUCUCCUGCCUCAGCCUCCUGAGUAGCUGGGACUACAGGCACAUGCCACCACGCCCAGCUAAUUUUUGUAUUUUUAGUAGAGACAGGGUUUCACCAUGUUGGCCAGGAUGGUCUCAAUCUCCCGACCUCGUGGUCUGCCCACCUCGGCCUCCCAAAGUGCUGGGAUUACAGGCAUGAGCCACUGUGCCCGGCCUUUUUUCUUUUUUUGGGGGACAGAGUCUGGCUCUGUCACCCAUGCUGGAGUGCAGUGGUGUGAUCUCGGCUCACUGCAACCUCCACCUCCCAGGUUCAAGUGAUUCUUAUCCCUCAGCCUCCCAAGUAGCUGGGAUUACAGGCAUGUACCACCAUGCCCGAAUAAUUUUUGUAUUUUUAGUAGAGACUGGGUUUCACCAUGUUGGCCAGGCUGGUCUCGAACUUCUGGCCUCAAGUGAUCUGCCCGCCUCGGCCUCCUAAAGUGCUGGAAUUACAGGUGUGAGCCACUGCGCCCAGCCAACAGAUGCAGCCUUUUAUUGCUCUUAUUCACAUAC